CCUACGGGUGGCAGCAGUGAGGAAUAUUGGUCAAUGGCCGAGAGGCUGAACCAGCCAAGUCGCGUGAGGGAUGACGGCCCUACGGGUUGUAAACCUCUUUUGCCGGGGAGCAAAGUGCGGGACGCGUCCCGCCUCGAGAGUACCCGGUGAAUAAGCAUCGGCUAACUCCGUGCCAGCAGCCGCGGUAAUACGGAAGGUCCGGGCGUUAUCCGGAUUUAUUGGGUUUAAGGGGAGCGUAGGCUGCCUGUUAAGCGUGCCGUGAAAUGCCGUGGCUCAACCAUGGCACUGCGGCGCGAACUGGCUGGCUUGAGUGCGUGGAACGUAGGCGGAAUUCGUGGUGUAGCGGUGAAAUGCUUAGAUAUCACGAAGAACUCCGAUUGCGAAGGCAGCAUACGGCAGCGCGACUGACGCUGAAGCUCGAAGGCGCGGGUAUCGAACAGGAUUAGAUACCCGAGUAGUC
RNAcentral lists this ribosomal RNA (460 nucleotides) under uncultured bacterium. RNAcentral describes it as "partial 16S ribosomal RNA". It matches the Rfam family "Bacterial small subunit ribosomal RNA", at positions 338 to 795 of the family's 1533-position model. The record is from RNAcentral.